RNAcentral lists this long non-coding RNA (586 nucleotides) under Danio rerio (zebrafish). RNAcentral's name for it is "si:dkey-14o18.7 (ENSDARG00000094748.2)". The record is from RNAcentral. Lineage: Eukaryota; Metazoa; Chordata; Actinopteri; Cypriniformes; Danionidae.
AUCGUUCUGCUUCUGGUUAACAGCAACAUCUCUGAUGUGUUUUAAGGCAUUAAAAACGAUUUUAUUGGUUGAAUUUGAUCUCCGAGCAAUAGCCUACUAAAAGACCCAUUUUGAUUUAAUUUCAUUUUUAGCCUUUAAUCCAGCAUCAUAAUGUGUAUAAAAUCCCCAAAUUGACCAAUAGCAACGUCAUUUUUGGCACCAUUUGAACUCUUGCAAGCCAACCAAGUCAUGGCUGCAUGUUCCGCUUUUGAUCAACAACAGGUGAAGAACAACAUGAUGCGUAAUAUGGAGAAACAGAAACGCAAAUUUAUCCAGAAUAUGGAAGGAUUUACUUAAGUUUCCCGAAGAAACAACAGGCUUAUUUGCAAAUCCUCUAUAGAGCUCGCAUUUGAUUUUCUGUGAUAUGCUGGACCCAAACCCCACAGCUUGACUGAGAGAUCCUGACCAACCAGGACACUUCGAGCUUUGACGUUCCCAUGAAUGCAGUUCUUACUAUGCAGAUACUCCUGCAAUCAGUACAGGUUUUGUCAGUGCAAUAACACUGGGUGUGACAAUAAAGGCUUUGCUCUACUGUAUAAAUCAAGAA